AUGCAAUUUUGAAGCACGUUCCUUUAUUUGAGUAUCACUCAGUUUUGGAAAAACACACAAAACACCAAAUACUGAGUUAGGUUACAGACUCGUAAGCUGUCAACUGACGAUCCAGCUCAAUAAUUAGCUUAUCCAAAAUUGGUAGAUUUGUUUCAACCUUUAACUUUUUUCCACCCUGUAGAAAAACUUCAUUGGAAUUAGCAUCAUCAAAAUGUUUGAUGAUUCUUGCUCGCGUUUGUUAACUCUCGUCGGUAUAUUCAGAGUAUUGUAGAUCGCAGACCUUCUGCUCGUAGUAAGCAAAAUUAUCUCUUUGGAAUUUUAAGAACCCCAAAAGUCAUUUUAGAAGCUGGACUGCAGUUAUAAGUUCAAUCUCUUCUCUUUAAUGAUUUCCUGACAGCGUUGAUGAGUUCUAAAAUUGUUGUCCAAAACUCAUUCAUUACGAAUGUUUCUCUUUUGACAUUUCUUUCCACAAACACAGACUCAUGAACUGUUUUAGCUUUCUGAUUAGAGUCUUUAGCAAGAGUAUGAAGAGGUUUAGAAAAAGCUCUUGUUGCAUCCGCCCUUGCAGUCCAUAUAGUGCUGCUUGUUCUUUUAAGGACAAGGUUUAGAUCAUGACGAAUGGGAUCGCUUAGUUGAGUUUCAUUUAAGCAUUUGAUUGUAGCUUCCCAACGGUGGGUAGAGGCUGAAAAAAAGUUGUACACGAAUUUAAUUGAACAAAUCCAAAAUACGAUAUUGCUCCAACGGAUCCAACGCAGCUUUUAGCACCACUUAUUCCAACUAAAGCGAGUGUGCGGCACAAAAAAUGUAAAGUACAAUUUGUUAAUCUUAAAUAAAUGAGCCUGGAGGCCAUUGUAUUUGCCUGACAUGUAGCGAAAGGCAUGGGUAAUGAAGGAGAGGGUAGCGAGGGGGCGCAGUCGCUGUCUCAUUUGUUGCUCUUGCUACUUUUCUAAGAAACUGUGCAGACUGAUAGGCAGUACUGUUUCUUCUAUCAUGUGGCAUUCAUUAGCGACUUCUUCUCACAACAUAGCUUUCUAUGUGAACAAAAGUAUGCAUUGUACCAUCAUUUUUAUGGUAUUGCGUGAUAUUUGAAUUUUUCAACAUAAUAUGAUUUGAUAAAAAUAAUAAACUUAAAGAUAAAACCCAUAACUAAAUUAAAAUUCAUGGUGACGUUUCAAUUAUUACUUUAAUCAUCGUCAGAAUAAUAAGUUUCUUGAGCGGAUGCUUUAAAAUAAUUUUAAAGGAACAAACAAUAAUUAAUGAAAACGUAAAAAUGACAUUGACAAUCAUUGGGUUAAGUCAAUAAUUUCAAACACGCCAUGUCUUGUUGCGUGUUUAAGGGUGGCUUCAAAAGAAAUAUGGAUAAUGCCUCCUUGAUGCUGAGUUCCGUUGGAGAACUUGCAUGACCAAUGACUGAGAAGUCCUUACGACUAAUAGGGUGGUCAGAAUCAGUCAUAUGUUGGAAUACCGCUGAAUUUGGAAUUGUUCUUGAUCGUCUUCCUAAGUGAGGAGUGACACUUAAGUGUUCACAACAUCUGACAUUAAAGUGACGUCGAGUCUUCACGACGUACGUAGCUGCACAGCUACUACAUUUGAAUUGGUAUAUAAUGUUAGAUGCGAGAUCACUAGCAAUCAUGUCUUUCACAUGAAAACGAGAUCCUAUUCUUUCCAAAGUCGUGAAAGCAAAUCUUAAUUCUAUAGAGGGAAAUGCUUUUUUAAUUGUUCUACGGAUGUUGCGUCGGAUUUGUAAGCUGUGGUAACCAGUAUAUGGAAGUUUGAUAUAGAUCUUUUCUUUGAUUUCUUCUACUUUGCUGUUUGGUUGGAAUUUGUUACUGAAAAAACGUCUGAUGUAUCUUUCUAAGAAGUUCAACGAAAAACCAUUUUUAUUUAAGAUCACCUUUAUGUUUUCUAACUCUUCAUGUAGGAAUUGCCAGGUUGAACAGAUAGUGACAGCGCGGUGAACAAGUAUAUAGGCCGUUCCAAGAUGCUGUCAAAAUUAAAUCAAUAUGGCUACUGGAAGGCAAACAUUGAAUAUUAUUCUAUCAGGUUCUUAUGGUUUUAGAUCAUUUUAGUUGUUGUACAAAGAUUAAUUUAACAUUUUCUCUGGAAGUAUUAAUUUAGAAAGAUAAUAUGCCUCAUUGGUGUUGUGUUUUGAAGUGUGAAAUGCAAAGUAAUCGUGAUAAAGUUAGCUUUUACCACUUACCAUCAGUGCUACAUUCUAAGCACAAAACUGAACCAAUUUAACUAAAUAAGUUAUAGUUAUCAUCUGAGAGACAACAACAAUGGUAAAAUGCAAUAAAAUAUAAAGAUUUUACUAGCAAAAUGGAAAUUCCCCUGUAAUCAUCUUAUAUCUGGAAAACCAGCCGACUUAACUGAUAAUAACAAUCCAGAUUGGGUUCCUUCAAUAAAUAUGGGGUAUAUAAACACAAUGAAAUGAGUUCCCCAAAAUCUAAAAUGGGAAUUAAGGUACCAAAGGAGAAUUAAAAGAAAAGGGUACCUACAAGAAAAAAUUGCUUUUUUAUUCCUCUUGAAAUGAUUUAUAAGACACUGGACUGUCUUAUAUUCUACAAAUACUAGGUAGGUCUAUGAUUUUACACAUUUUUCAUUAAUGAUACAUUACUGUUACUUUAGUAGAUUUAGAAACAGUGGAUAGUUAGUGGUAGAUAGUAGUUAUUUGGUAUAAAAGCUAGUUUAGUAGAAGACAAGAUUUUGCCAAAUAGUCAAACAUAUAUUACAAUGGAAAAAUUAACAAAUACAUUUUAUGUCAUUAACAUUAACACAGGAUUUUAAAUAUCAGCUUAAGAAAUUAGCUUUAUCUUGUGAAAGUAUAGAAAAUGAUGAUGCCAAAACUAAAAAUUAUACUGGUUUAGCAAAUUACAAUGUUUUUAAAAUAGCUUUAAAGUAUAUUACACCAUUUAUCAAAUACCAUCAAAAUACUGUUUUGUCACCAAGUGAUCAAGUAUUGCUUACUUUAGCUAAACUAAGCUUAAAGUUAGAUUAUAAAGAUUUGGGAUAUAGGUUUAGUAUUUCACCCUACCCGGUAUCAACUUAUUUCAAAAAUACUUUGUAUAUAAUGUGUCUUAGGUUAAAAAAAUUUGUGUUCUGGCCUGAUAGAGAUAUUUUAAAGAAAACUAUGCAAAAUUCACUUAAAGAAUCUUUUCAUGGAAAUACUACAGGUAUAAUUGAUUUUGGACGAAUGUUUGUAUGAAACGAAUUAUUUAUUGUUCUGAAGCUAGUUAUUUGAGGCAUUUUUGUAAUUAACUAUUCUAAUUGGGAAAUAAGCCACAAUUUAACUUAAAAAAUAAUUUUAUUAAUCUUUCGACUUCCAAAUCAGACGUCAUUGUCAAAAUACAAAAUAUUAUUAUUUAUGCAUAUUAUUACCUGUAAAUAUUUCUUCUGAUUGUUAAUUGUAAAGGAUUGAAAAAUUACCAUUUAUUUUAUUUUUUUUAGAAUCAGCUGAGAGAAGUGGUCUACAAAAACCCAGGAAGGAAACGGAAUAUGUGGCUACGAAAGGCAAAAGAAAGGUUUACAAAGCAAAUGUGACACAUUUUUUUGAAAUAUUUAGGAAUAUCAGUAAAUUGCAUUAAAAAAAUGUAUGAAAAGAUUUUGUUCAAUAAAAAUGUUUAUAUUUA
Molecule: long non-coding RNA, 3629 nt
Filed under: Diabrotica virgifera virgifera (western corn rootworm)
Lineage: Eukaryota; Metazoa; Arthropoda; Insecta; Coleoptera; Chrysomelidae
Description: uncharacterized LOC126885046
Source: RNAcentral